UUUAAAUUUAGAAUUACACCAAAUAGACCCAAAAACUGUAUUUUUAUUUUCAAUUGAGAAAUGAUUAAAGAGAUCAACAUGAAUCGUCUUAUAAAUUUCAUGUUAAAGUUUUUUUUAGUAUUGUUGUAACUUUAUAGUUACACGCAUGGCCUAAUACAAUCAUCUACACAGUCGUACUUGGGUUUUUAAUAGGUUAAAUUUCGUACAAAAAGUUUGUCAUACGG
RNAcentral lists this long non-coding RNA (224 nucleotides) under Olea europaea (common olive). RNAcentral describes it as "long non-coding RNA (OEUR_LNC006682)". Lineage: Eukaryota; Viridiplantae; Streptophyta; Magnoliopsida; Lamiales; Oleaceae. The record is from RNAcentral.